GACCCUUGCCCUCAGCUCAAUCUCAUCAUCACAUGUUUUCAUCGACAAAGAUUCCAACCCACGAUCGACUACUUCAAUUGUCAGGUUGAAUUCUAACCCAGAGUUUGCUAAGAAAGUGAAUGCAUAGGAGGUGACUAAGGCUGAGACAACAACAAUUGGAAAAAUCUUUGCUUAUAUCAAGCAAGGAUUAGCCAAGGCCGUGAGCUAACUGGAAAGCAUGCCUCCGAAUUGGUUGAUAAGUACUUUGAGGCUAAUGGUGAUCUUGGUCCUAACCAUGAAUGCCUGUCCAACAAACUUUGAUCGACGCCAUUGGUCAAACACAUAGGUUCAAGGUGUAAGUUUCUGAAUACAACUUAGAAUGAGGGACUCAGGCUAUAACAGUAAUGAAGGUUGUCUCUCCUUCAGUCCUGCAACCUUUAACAUCCCCGGUUGGAAUCCCACUUGCCACCACUUCUGAAAUGCCUCUAUUUUCUGCAAGUGAUUAGGGUGCGUCCUCCAAAGACUGGAGACCUAGCUGUUGAAGAAAACACCAGUACAAGUAACUGUGACGAAGCACAGAGGAAAACGU
Brassica oleracea var. oleracea is the source of this 568-nucleotide long non-coding RNA. RefSeq lists it as uncharacterized. NCBI's taxonomy places the organism in Eukaryota, Viridiplantae, Streptophyta, Magnoliopsida, Brassicales, Brassicaceae. The transcript has 4 exons. The record is from RefSeq and is a predicted model, not a curated record.